AGUACCGUGAGGGAAUGGUGAAAAGUACCCCGGGAGGGGAGUGAAAUAGUACCUGAAACCGUGUGCCUGUAAGCCGUCAGAGCCUUGUGGGGUGAUGGCGUGCCUUUUGAAGAAUGAGCCUGCGAGUUAGUGAUACGUGGCGUGCUUAACCCGUGUGGGGUAUGCGUAGCGAAAGCGAGUCUGAAAGAUGGCGUUUGUCGCGUGUUCUAGACCCGAAGCGGGGUGAUCUACCCAUGGUCAGGUUGAAGCAGAGGUAAGACUGUGUGGAGGACCGAACCCACCAGGGUUGAAAACCUGGGGGAUGAACUGUGGGUAGGGGUGAAAGGCCAAUCAAACUCCGUGAUAGCUGGUUCUCCCCGAAAUGCAUUUAGGUGCAGCGUUGCGUGGUCCCUGGUGGAGGUAGAGCUACUGGAUGGCCGAUGGGCCCUGUGGGUUACUGACGUCAGCCAAACUCCGAAUGCCAUUAGGUGUAGCGUGGCAGUGAGACUGCGGGGGAUAAGCUUCGUAGUCGAGAGGGAAACAGCCCAGAUCAUCAGCUAAGGCCCCUAAGCGUACGCUAAGUGGGAAAGGAUGUGGAGUCGCGGUGACAACCAGGAGGUUGGCUUAGAAGCAGCCAUCCUUGAAAGAGUGCGUAAUAGCUCACUGGUCAAGUGGUUCUGCGCCGACAAUGUAGCGGGGCUCAAGCGUACCGCCGAAGCUGUGGCAACAACGCGAUUGUGCUGGCGCCAGGAACUGGAGUGCUGGUGUGUUGUUGGGUAGGGGAGCGUCCUGCACGAGGUGAAGCCUGGAGGUGACUUCUGGUGGAUUGUGUGGGAGUGAGAAUGCAGGCAUGAGUAACGAAUCUGCGGUGAGAAUCCGCAGCGCCGAUUGACUAAGGGUUCCAGGGCUAGGUUUAUCCGCCCUGGGUUAGUCGGGUCCUAAGGCGAGGCCGACAGGCGUAGUCGAUGGACAACCAGUUGAUAUUCUGGUACCGCGUUGUGACCGCCCAUGCUGAAGUCAUUGUGCUAACCAAUUUGCUCACCGCCUGCUGGGCCUUCGGGUUUGGUGGUGUGUGUGGGUCUUGGGGUCCCGGUGAUUGUAGGCAAGCGUGUUAACAGGGGUGACGCAGACAGGUAGCUGCAGUGCGCCGAUGGUUGUGCGUAUUUAAGGUUGUGGCCCGUCCCUCAGGUAAAUCCGGGGGGCAUGAUGGGUGAGAACUGAUGAGGGUGACACGGUUGUGUUGUCUUGUGGUGAUCCUAUGCUGCCAAGAAAAGCCUCGACGUGAGGGCAUGACGCGCCCGUACCCUAAACCGACUCAGGUGGUCAGGUAGAGUAUACCGAGGCGUUCGAGUGAAUCAUGGUUAAGGAACUCGGCAAAAUUCCUCCGUAACUUCGGGAUAAGGAGGACCCCUUGACUUUCCCGCGCCAUGCGUGCGGGUGGGGUUGGGGGGUCGCAGAGAAUAGGGAGAAGCGACUGUUUAUCAAAAACACAGGUGCGUGCGAAGCCGUAAGGCGAUGUAUACGCACUGACGCCUGCCCGGUGCUGGAAGGUUAAGAGGAACCGUCAACAUCUCUUUGUGGGUGUGAAGCGGUGAAUUUAAGCCCCAGUAAACGGCGGUGGUAACUAUAACCAUCCUAAGGUAGCGAAAUUCCUUGUCGGGUAAGUUCCGACCUGCACGAAUGGCGUAACGACUUCUC
Molecule: ribosomal RNA, 1677 nt
Filed under: human metagenome
Description: bacterial LSU rRNA
Rfam family: Bacterial large subunit ribosomal RNA
Source: RNAcentral